CAGCAGCCGCCGCGGUAAUACGUAGGUGGCAAGCGUUGUCCGGAAUUAUUGGGCGUAAAGGGCUCGCAGGCGGUUUCUUAAGUCUGAUGUGAAAGCCCCCGGCUCAACCGGGGAGGGUCAUUGGAAACUGGGAAACUUGAGUGCAGAAGAGGAGAGUGGAAUUCCACGUGUAGCGGUGAAAUGCGUAGAGAUGUGGAGGAACACCAGUGGCGAAGGCGACUCUCUGGUCUGUAACUGACGCUGAGGAGCGAAAGCGUGGGGAGCGUACAGGAUUAGAUACCCGCGUAGUCCCUGUCUCUUAUAC
RNAcentral lists this ribosomal RNA (304 nucleotides) under uncultured bacterium. Its description in RNAcentral is "partial 16S ribosomal RNA". It matches the Rfam family "Bacterial small subunit ribosomal RNA", at positions 506 to 807 of the family's 1533-position model. The record is from RNAcentral.